ACGUACACUCCUACGGGAGGCAGCAGUGGGGAAUAUUGGACAAUGGGCGCAAGCCUGAUCCAGCCAUGCCGCGUGAGUGAUGAAGGCCCUAGGGUUGUAAAGCUCUUUCACCGGUGAAGAUAAUGACGGUAACCGGAGAAGACGCCCCGGCUAACUUCGUGCCAGCAGCCGCGGUAAUACGAAGGGGGCUAGCGUUGUUCGGAUUUACUGGGCGUAAAGCGCACGUAGGCGGACUAUUAAGUCAGGGGUGAAAUCCCGGGGCUCAACCCCGGAACUGCCUUUGAUACUGGUAGUCUGGAGUUCGAGAGAGGUGAGUGGAAUUCCGAGUGUAGAGGUGAAAUUCGUAGAUAUUCGGAGGAACACCAGUGGCGAAGGCGGCUCACUGGCUCGAUACUGACGCUGAGGUGCGAAAGCGUGGGGAGCAAACAGGAUUAGAAACCCUAGUAGUCCCAUG
Molecule: ribosomal RNA, 454 nt
Filed under: uncultured organism
Description: partial 16S ribosomal RNA
Rfam family: Bacterial small subunit ribosomal RNA
Source: RNAcentral